AGUCAAUUGUCUCCUACUGCAAAGAAAGCAUGCCAGCUUCUUGAACAGGAUGGAGUUUUCUGUUUUCUUCUCCUCUGUUUUGCCUGCACAAUACUAGUCUCGCUCUGUCGCCCAGGCUGGAGUGCAGUGGUGCGAUCUCGGCUCAUCGCAAGCUCCGCCUCCUGGGUUCACACCAUUCUCCUCUCUCAGUCUCCCGAGUAGCUGGACUACAGGUGCCCGCUCUCAGGCCUCUGAGCCCAAGCCAAGCCAUCGCAUCCCCUGUGACUUGCACGUAUAUGCCCAGAUGGCCUGAAGUAACUGAAGAAUCACAAAAGAAGUGAAUAUGCCCUGCCCCACCUUAACUGAUGACAUUCCACCAUAAAAGAAGUGGACGCGCAUGAAAUUUGGUGCCGCGACUCAGAUCGGGGGACCUCCCUUAGGAGAUCAAUCCCCUGUCCUCCUGUUCUUUGCUCCGUGAGAAAGAUCCACCUAUGACCUCAGGUCCUCAGACCGGACCAGCCCAAGGAACAUCUCACCAAUUUUAAAUCAGGUUCCCACGCCGACCCUAAUGCCGCUUGAAGCAGCCCUGAGAAACAUCGCCCAUUCUCUCUCUCCAUAUCACCCCCCAAAAAUUUUUGCCACCCCAACACUUCAACACUAUUUUGUUUUAUUUUUCUUAUUAAUAUAAGAAGGCAGGAAUGUCAGGCCUCUGAGCCCAAGCCAAGCCAUCGCAUCCCCUGUGACUUGCACGUAUACGCCCAGAUGGCCUGAAGUAACUGAAGAAUCACAAAAGAAGUGAAUAUGCCCUGCCUCACCUUAGCUGAUGACAUUCUACCACAAAAGAAGUGUAAAUGGCCAGUCCUUGCCUUAAGUGAUGACAUUACCUUGUGAAAGUCCUUUCCCUGGCUCAUCCUGGCUCAAAAAGCACCCCCACUGAGCACCUUGCCACCCCCACUCCUGCCCGCCAGAGAACAAACCCUCUUUGACUGUAAUUUUCCUUUACCUUCCCAAAUCCUAUAAAACGGCCCCACCCUUAUCUCCCUUCGCUGACUCUCUUUUCAGACUCAGCCCGCCUGCACCCAGGUGAUUAAAAGCUUUAUUGCUCACACAAAGCCUGUUUGGUGGUCUCUUCACAGGGACGCGCAUGAAACCCGC
RNAcentral lists this long non-coding RNA (1134 nucleotides) under Homo sapiens (human). Its description in RNAcentral is "HSALNT0318698". Lineage: Eukaryota; Metazoa; Chordata; Mammalia; Primates; Hominidae. The record is from RNAcentral.